AGGGCAGCGAAACCGCGAGGUCAAGCAAAUCCCAUAAAGUUGUUCUCAGUUCGGAUUGUAGUCUGCAACUCGACUACAUGAAGCUGGAAUCGCUAGUAAUCGUAGAUCAGCAUGCUACGGUGAAUACGUUCCCGGGUCUUGUACACACCGCCCGUCACACCACGAGAGUUUGUAACACCCGAAGCCGGUGGAGUAACCUUUUAGGAGCUAGCCGUCGAAGGUGGGACAAAUGAUUGGGGUGAAGUCGUAACAAGGUAGCCGUAUCGGAAGGUGCGGCUGGAUCACCUC
This 288-nucleotide ribosomal RNA is filed under the name Staphylococcus aureus. RNAcentral's name for it is "partial 16S ribosomal RNA". It matches the Rfam family "Bacterial small subunit ribosomal RNA", at positions 1243 to 1529 of the family's 1533-position model. Lineage: Bacteria; Bacillati; Bacillota; Bacilli; Caryophanales; Staphylococcaceae. The record is from RNAcentral.